UGGAGAGAAAAUUUAGGGAUUUGGAUAGUGGGAGUGGUUGGACGAUUUUAGGAGAAUUUUGAGGGAUUUGGGGAUAAUGGGGCUGAAUUUUUUUAUUUUAUUUUAUUUUUUGUUAUUUUGUUAUUUUCAAAUUCCCAAAGUUCUUCCAUCAUUCUGUCGUUUCUUUUCCCCUAGCUUUGCUGAACCUUUGCCAAAGUUUCUUUUUCUGCUCCAUUCUUGUCGAUUUUGGCCAUUGGUUUACCUUUUCUCUUUUUGUUUUCCGGAGUUGCA
Molecule: long non-coding RNA, 270 nt
Filed under: Gossypium raimondii (Peruvian cotton)
Lineage: Eukaryota; Viridiplantae; Streptophyta; Magnoliopsida; Malvales; Malvaceae
Description: long non-coding RNA (GRAI_LNC007678)
Source: RNAcentral